AAUACAUGCAAGUCGAACGAACUCUGGUAUUGAUUGGUGCUUGCAUCAUGAUUUACAUUUGAGUGAGUGGCGAACUGGUGAGUAACACGUGGGAAACCUGCCCAGAAGCGGGGGAUAACACCUGGAAACAGAUGCUAAUACCGCAUAACAACUUGGACCGCAUGGUCCGAGUUUGAAAGAUGGCUUCGGCUAUCACUUUUGGAUGGUCCCGCGGCGUAUUAGCUAGAUGGUGGGGUAACGGCUCACCAUGGCAAUGAUACGUAGCCGACCUGAGAGGGUAAUCGGCCACAUUGGGACUGAGACACGGCCCAAACUCCUACGGGAGGCAGCAGUAGGGAAUCUUCCACAAUGGACGAAAGUCUGAUGGAGCAACGCCGCGUGAGUGAAGAAGGGUUUCGGCUCGUAAAACUCUGUUGUUAAAGAAGAACAUAUCUGAGAGUAACUGUUCAGGUAUUGACGGUAUUUAACCAGAAAGCCACGGCUAACUACGUGCCAGCAGCCGCGGUAAUACGUAGGUGGCAAGCGUUGUCCGGAUUUAUUGGGCGUAAAGCGAGCGCAGGCGGUUUUUUAAGUCUGAUGUGAAAGCCUUCGGCUCAACCGAAGAAGUGCAUCGGAAACUGGGAAACUUGAGUGCAGAAGAGGACAGUGGAACUCCAUGUGUAGCGGUGAAAUGCGUAGAUAUAUGGAAGAACACCAGUGGCGAAGGCGGCUUUCUGGACUGUAACUGACGCUGAGGCUCGAAAGUGUGGGUAGCAAACAGGAUUAGAUACCCUGGUAGUCCACACCGUAAACGAUGAAUGCUAAGUGUUGGAGGGUUUCCGCCCUUCAGUGCCGCAGCUAACGCAUUAAGCAUUCCGCCUGGGGAGUACGGCCGCAAGGCUGAAACUCAAAGGAAUUGACGGGGGCCCGCACAAGCGGUGGAGCAUGUGGUUUAAUUCGAAGCUACGCGAAGAACCUUACCAGGUCUUGACAUCCCUUGCAAAUUUCAGAGAUUGAACGUUCCCUUCGGGGACAUGGAUACAGGUGGUGCAUGGUUGUCGUCAGCUCGUGUCGUGAGAUGUUGGGUUAAGUCCCGCAACGAGCGCAACCCUUAUUAUUAGUUGCCAGCAUUAAGUUGGGCACUCUGGUGAGACUGCCGGUGACAAACCGGAGGAAGGUGGGGAUGACGUCAAAUCAUCAUGCCCCUUAUGACCUGGGCUACACACGUGCUACAAUGGAUGGUACAACGAGUUGCCCACUCGCGAGAGUGAGCUAAUCUCUUAAAGCCCUUCUCAGUUCGGAUUGUAGGCUGCAACUCGCCUACAUGAAGUCGGAAUCGCUAGUAAUCGCGGAUCAGCAUGCCGCGGUGAAUACGUUCCCGGGCCUUGUACACACCGCCCGUCACACCAUGAGAGUUUGUAACACCCAAAGUCGGUGGGGUAACCUU
This 1426-nucleotide ribosomal RNA is filed under the name Lactobacillus sp. TN627. Its description in RNAcentral is "bacterial SSU rRNA". It matches the Rfam family "Bacterial small subunit ribosomal RNA". Lineage: Bacteria; Bacillati; Bacillota; Bacilli; Lactobacillales; Lactobacillaceae. The record is from RNAcentral.